AAAUCCUGGCCUCAAAUGAUCCCCCUGCCUCGGCCUCCAAAGUGUUGGAAUUACAGGCGUGAGCCACUGUGCCCAGCUUGUGUUACCACCUAGAUCUUUCUUUAGCGCUUCUGCUGGCACUGUGCUAUCUAUCUUCCAACUCUUCAACUUAAUGCAGGUCAAGAACAAAUCUGUGGCAAUCCUGGAUUGUCGUGGUCAUGGCAGGAAAGUAUGGAGACAAAAAGGAGCAAUGCUAUUCUGUCAGAGGAUAAGGAAGCCUGUGAUGGCCAGGAUCUAGAUAGUUCAUACCCGUAUCCCUCAUUUUCAAGUUGCAGUGACAAUGUGAGAGAAGACCUGCAUCAACAGAGAAAAAGCAGAGAGCCCUCACUGUUGGCAGAUUAGUUUCCAAAUACCCGCAUGGCAAGUGGAGAACAUGGCAAAGAUGCUCAAACCAUUAUUCCUUAGACAUCCAUGAGAGAACACUCACCAAAGCUCAAGAAGCAGUGACUAUUGAGGAUGAUUAAAGAGGUAAGAGAAACCAGGAAUUGUUACUAGGAGCAUCUGAUAUAUCUAAAUGAAAUAAAUGGCACCCAGCUCUUCUAGCACAAACCCUACCUCUUGGGGAAGUCCAGCAGUCUCUUCCUCCUGAUAACAUUUUUCCAUUUGUUCUAGGUCAUAGGCCCUACAUAGCUAUAAGAGAGGGAGACCAGGAGACUGAAUGUACCUGGCAAUAGCUAUCUUCCAUAGGAAUGGCUCAUUAAGAAUACCAUUUCAUGUCACAUGGGUAUUGGAAUACCAUGAGUGGCAAGGGUUCCGCUUAGCUAGGCUCUGUUUCAAGGACUUUCAUGACCUUAUGUGAUCCAGUAUGUGCAUUCUCCAAUGGCAAUCACUGCCCACUAUCCUCAUCAUCCAGCCUCAAUUGAGAUGAGGCAUAAAGUAAGUACUAUGGACCCUUCUAGCAGAAAAAACGCAAGAGGAAAUCACACGUGAGGCUUUUAUGUCUUUACUCUGGGCUGAGCUGGGUCAGACCUAAAGAUGGAGAGGAAAAGUGAAACUGUCAGGUCUAAAGACUGUAUUUCUUCUUCUUCUUUUUUUUUUUUUUUAAUAGGAAUAACAUUAAGAAAAACAAAUUGAUCUGACGAGAAAACAAAACUCUCUUAAGGAAGAGUUUACUAUAGUAGGGACCCAUUCCCUAGGGGAAGGGAAGGGAAGCGUCUGCUGAAAAGGAUUUUCUUCCCUGGGCUAGAAUCACAUCCUUGAGGCCUUCCUACAUGUUCCAAGGAGGCCAAAUCUCGUGUGGUCCUAAACUAUUCCUCAUUCCACUCCUAAUCUCAACAGCCAUCCUGGGAUAGGAACACUAGCCUCUGGAGAGCAGUGAGGCCUAUCAAACCUACACCAGUCAGCCCGUAUGACAUAAUUACAGGUAAUAUAGGAUCUUGGCCAAACCAAUGAAAAAUUAGGCACAGUACCUAUUUCAGAAGAAUGGAUGCAAUUCUAUGCUUGACUGGCUAUGAAAGUUCUAAGGAGAGGAAUAGGGAAACAGCCAAGCUGAGCCAGCAGCUUUGCAGAGAGGAAUCCCACUGGAGCCAGCACAGCAUUGGCACCUAUCAGCACAUGCUGCUGAGCUUGCUUGGGGAAGGCCACCAGUGACUGGAGACUCGGCUCCUUCCAGACGUUAAAAGCUGAUAGGGGAAGCCCAGCAGUCAGGGGAAGAAAGGCAAUGGGGCAGCAUCCCCCAUGAUACAUUUCUACCUCAACUCUUCUCCUUGUGAUGCCACUUUCAUUUAGGGGCUGGAAUGGGAUUUGAGGGCCUGCCCUCUAGGGCUUUUGGAAGUACUUCGCAAAGGGCCAGGAGCCCAGAAGUGAAGGGGCUGUAAUAGACAGAUAACAACCUGGUAUUCAGGAAGAGCUUAUAGCCCAUCUCCAAACAGGAAUUUGUUGACCUGAAAUUCCAAAUUAACUCCUCGCUCAUUUAGCAGUCUAAUCCACAAAACAGAAACAUACCAGAGAGGGACAGAUUUGCAGACUAUGUUUGGAGAGUGAAGGGACAUGAAUGGUUUCUAUUUGAACACUAAACAUUUUUCAAAACACUCAUCAUUAUCUCAUUACCUUUAACUAUACUGGCUGGACAGACAGGGAGACCCAGGCAGGUGAGGGUCCUAUAGUAAGUGCACAGUCAGGUUUUGGCUAUGGACUUUUUCAAUAAGAAGUUGAUGAAUUAGCAGCCAUGUGUCCAGCCUCAAUACUUCAACAGUUUUCCUCCCACCCUGACAAAUGCCGAGCUUGGAGAGCUUUCCUAAAGAACCAUAAAGGACAACAAAAUAACAGGCCUUCUUCCCAUUCUCUAGAAUUAGGUCACAGGGAAUCAAUUAGUUGAUUUGACAAAUAUUUAUUUGUUGAGUAUCUCUUAUAUACUAGGCACUGGAGUACGAAGACAAAACAUGGUUCCUGUCUGUGAGGAGCUUACAAGCUAGUGGGGAGAGACUUGGGUCAUAGGUCCCUUGUAUACUAUUGGUAAGUACACAACAGAUGUAUGCACAGGGUGCUGUGGGAACUGAUGGAAGGAUGUCUCAUCUAGCCUGGGAGAGCAAGGGAAGGCUUCCAAGAAAAGGUGAUGCACCUUCCAGAACAGGCGUGAACAGGUGUGAAAGCAAGCAAGGGGGAUGACUGAUGUGCUGGGCCGAGAGUGUAAGUCUACCUGAGAGAUGGGAGAGACAAAAUGUUAUGGUAUGUAUAGCGAACUGCCAGUGUAACAGGUCUAUUCUGAUAAGGCACAAAUUAUGAAGUGAGUGGGGGUGGUGAGACAUAAAGUUGGAGAGGUUAUCAAGAAUAUAUGUAAACUGAGAUGAGACUUUAUCCCAGAGGCAAUGGGAAGUUAUAUAUAUAUAUAUUUUUAAACAAACGCACCUACACAGUCAGAUCUGUCUUUUAAGAAAGAUUAGAUACAGGAAUAUAGACAUACAUGAGCAAAUGGGAAAAGUAAGGCCCACAAAAAUCAAACAGCAGAUGAAGCAGGAAUCAGACAAUCAAUAGACAAAGGAGCUGUGGCAAGAGCAGAGUAAAUAUUUAGGGGAGGCAUGGGCAUAGCCAAUCCUUCAAAUUCCUCUGCAGUCUUGGAAGCAUCCAGGAUCAGAAUCCAUGCCGUAUAGAAGACUGACUCUUAGUCAAUGUGGGACUUUCAGGGAAGUCCUCUACUAUUCCUUUAACUAGUUCCAGGUAUUCUAUGGUUGAAAAAUGGUAAAAUAUGGCUAAAAUAAUUAUUGCCUUCUAAAAGCAAAACUGGUAAGAUUUGAAGAGAAAAAGCAUUUGAUUUGGAAUGCAGAUAUUUGAGUUUUAGUAUACGUCUUACCAUUAGCUCUGUGAACAGAGGCAAGUUACUGUGCAUUUUGGUUUCUUGAACUGUAAAACAGGGUUAAUAUUUUUCUUAUAGGUUUGCUGUGAGAUUAAAAUGAACUAUUAUGCAUGAAAACACUUUUAAAAUGAGAAAAUGCUAUAUAAAAUUAAGGUUUGAUCACUAUUAAGACAGGAGUUUUUCUUACCUGAGCCUUCUUCAAAGAAAAUAGCCCUUAACUAAGAAUAAACUGCUUGAAAUUAAAGAC
This is a non-coding RNA of Macaca mulatta (Rhesus monkey), 3578 nucleotides long. The record is from RefSeq and is a predicted model, not a curated record. Lineage: Eukaryota; Metazoa; Chordata; Mammalia; Primates; Cercopithecidae.